Molecule: ribosomal RNA, 274 nt
Filed under: uncultured bacterium
Lineage: Bacteria
Description: partial 16S ribosomal RNA
Rfam family: Bacterial small subunit ribosomal RNA
Source: RNAcentral
AUACGGAGGGUGCAAGCGUUAAUCGGAAUUACUGGGCGUAAAGCGUACGUAGGCGGUUCGUUAAGUUAGAUGUGAAAGCCCCGGGCUUAACCUGGGAACUGCAUUUAAAACUGGCGAACUAGAGUUGAGUAGAGGGGAGUGGAAUUUCAGGUGUAGCGGUGAAAUGCGUAGAGAUCUGAAGGAACACCAGUGGCGAAGGCGACUCCCUGGACUCGAACUGACGCUGAGGUACGAAAGCGUGGAUAGCAAACGGGAUUAGAAACCCUAGUAGUCC